CAUUGUUUUGAAACUGAAGAAAAAUUGUAUGAGUUUAAAAGCUUGCACAGUUCCCAUCUCUGAGCCAGUGAAUGGAACAGAACAAGUGUGAUCAACCAAGGUCGUAUUCACAAGGAACGAAAUGGAAGCAAACGGACCGAAACUGAGGGACUACCUGAACUUUGUCCAAUAAGAAAAGCUUGUUUUCGCAUGCUGUUGCAAAACGUUUUGCCACGUGUGCACUAAUGAAUACGACCCCCCCCCCAAGUCACUCGGCAGUAUGAGGCCUGUCAACACUGACCCAACCAAUCAUCAGUUAAAACCUUUUCUGUUUUUUGGGUCGUUCAUUUGUUCUUAAAGGGAUUUACACUGCUGUUUUUUGUUCUUUUUGUAUAUCCAGGCGCGUUUUUAUAUCUAUCGCAACAUAAACAGAGAUUAUUACACAUUGACCGACCUAGCUGCGUCUGUUUUAUGUGUGCUUGAGUAUAUGUCCGAUGGAACCUAAUCAUUCACGUCUGGGAGUUCAGAUUACCACUGCUCAGAAGAACUAUGACUUCAGCUAUACUCACCUAACGGGACUUACAGGUCGCCCCCUUGACCCCACCCCCUAAGAAAAACUAUUGCGGAGAGGAGCGAGGAUGGUGUUACUAUUAUAACUGUGCAUUCAGAAACGGUCCCUGCAGCCCUGAAACUCCUCAUUGAUCUGGGUUACAUGAGAAAGCACCAUCAGAAAGCCCUUCCUCUCCGCGUUGCCACAGCCACACCGAACAGACUGAGGGGAGUCACUGGAGGGGCACAAUACCAAAUAAGAGGGGUUUCUCCUAAUGCAGUAGAUCUACUACGAGUGUUCCUUGUAAUUGGUACUGUACAAAAAAUGUAAAAGAGAGACUAACCUUUUGUCCAUUUGAAAGGGUUUUAUCAUAGCACUUAUAAAGAGAGCUAAACGCUUCAACUUGCAAACCAGUAAAUCAGAAAAAUGGAGCAGCAACUUUGAAAACUGAAAAAAG
RNAcentral lists this long non-coding RNA (986 nucleotides) under Salmo salar (Atlantic salmon). RNAcentral describes it as "lncRNA (ENSSSAG00000086894.1)". Lineage: Eukaryota; Metazoa; Chordata; Actinopteri; Salmoniformes; Salmonidae. The record is from RNAcentral.